Molecule: ribosomal RNA, 681 nt
Filed under: uncultured bacterium
Lineage: Bacteria
Description: bacterial SSU rRNA
Rfam family: Bacterial small subunit ribosomal RNA
Source: RNAcentral
AGAGUUUGAUCCUGGCUCAGGACGAACGCUGGCGGCGUGCUUAACACAUGCAAGUCGAACGGUAAGGCCCUUCGGGGUACACGAGUGGCGAACGGGUGAGUAACACGUGGGUAAUCUGCCCUGCACAUCGGGAUAAGCCUGGGAAACUGGGUCUAAUACCGAAUAGGACCACAGGACACAUGUCCUGUGGUGGAAAGCUUUUGCGGUGUGGGAUGGGCCCGCGGCCUAUCAGCUUGUUGGUGGGGUGAUGGCCUACCAAGGCGACGACGGGUAGCCGGCCUGAGAGGGUGUCCGGCCACACUGGGACUGAGAUACGGCCCAGACUCCUACGGGAGGCAGCAGUGGGGAAUAUUGCACAAUGGGCGAAAGCCUGAUGCAGCGACGCCGCGUGGGGGAUGACGGCCUUCGGGUUGUAAACCUCUUUCACCAUCGACGAAGGUCCGGGUUUUCUCGGGCUGACGGUAGGUGGAGAAGAAGCACCGGCCAACUACGUGCCAGCAGCCGCGGCAAUACGUAGGGUGCGAGCGUUGUCCGGAAUUACUGGGCGUAAAGAGCUCGUAGGUGAUUUGUCGCGUUGUUCGUGAAAUCUCACGGCUUAACUGUGAGCGUGCGGGCGAUACGGGCAGACUUGAGUACUGCAGGGGAGACUGGAAUUCCUGGUGUAGCGGUGAAAUGCGUAGA